GGAUGCGAUCAUACCAGCACUGAAGCACCAGAUCCCAUCAGAACUCCGAAGUUAAGCUUGCUUGGGACGAGAGUAGUACUAGGAUGGGUGACCUCCUGGGAAGUCCUCGUGUUGCAUUCC
This 120-nucleotide ribosomal RNA is filed under the name Triticum aestivum (bread wheat). RNAcentral also lists the same sequence under 1 other name. Lineage: Eukaryota; Viridiplantae; Streptophyta; Magnoliopsida; Poales; Poaceae. The record is from RNAcentral.